ACGACUCUCGGCAACGGAUAUCUCGGCUCUCGCAUCGAUGAAGAACGCAGCGAAAUGCGAUACUUGGUGUGAAUUGCAGAAUCCCGCGAACCAUCGAGUUUUUGAACGCAAGUUGCGCCCGAAGCCUUUCGGCCGAGGGCACGCCUGCCUGGGUGUCACGCAACAU
Molecule: ribosomal RNA, 166 nt
Filed under: Croton capitis-york
Lineage: Eukaryota; Viridiplantae; Streptophyta; Magnoliopsida; Malpighiales; Euphorbiaceae
Also listed under: 1 other name
Description: 5.8S ribosomal RNA
Rfam family: 5.8S ribosomal RNA
About the family: 5.8S ribosomal RNA (5.8S rRNA) is a component of the large subunit of the eukaryotic ribosome. It is transcribed by RNA polymerase I as part of the 45S precursor that also contains 18S and 28S rRNA. Functionally, it is thought that 5.8S rRNA may be involved in ribosome translocation.
Source: RNAcentral